CCUACGGGAGGCAGCAGUGAGGAAUAUUGGUCAAUGGACGGGAGGCUGAACCAGCCAAGUCGCGUGAGGGAAGACGGCCCUACGGGUUGUAAACCUCUUUUGUCAGGGAGCAAGGUGCAGGUCGGGACCGGCGGUGAGAGGACCGGAAGAAAAAGCAUCGGCUAACUCCGUGCCAGCAGCCGCGGUAAUACGGAGGAUGCGAGCGUUAUCCGGAUUUAUUGGGUUUAAAGGGUGCGCAGGCGGAGGCACAAGUCAGCGGUAAAAUCGCGGGGCUCCACCCCGCUCCGCCGUUGAAACUGUGUCCCUUGAGUGCGCGACGGGUAGGCGGAAUGCGUGGUGUAGCGGU
RNAcentral lists this ribosomal RNA (346 nucleotides) under uncultured bacterium. Its description in RNAcentral is "partial 16S ribosomal RNA". It matches the Rfam family "Bacterial small subunit ribosomal RNA", at positions 338 to 682 of the family's 1533-position model. The record is from RNAcentral.